AUGGAAGGAGAUGAAAUUGUUCAAGAUCCAGGUGUUGGGCAAGUUGCUAGGAAAUAUAAAACCCUUAAUGACCAGCAAAAAUUUGCUGCUUAUGUAGCAAUGCAUACACUGUGUAUGAGUAGAGGAGGCACUUUUUUGGGAACUGACAAGCAAGACAUUGCAAAUUUUUUCGGAGUGGGUGUUUGGAGUAUACAAAGAAUUUGGAGAAAAGCAAUGAGGCAAAUUAGCGAAGGUAAAGAGGUGGAUGUUUCUAAUAAAAAAAAGGAAAUUCUGGAAGAAAGCCUAAGGACAUUAAUCUAG
This 300-nucleotide ribosomal RNA is filed under the name Triticum aestivum (bread wheat). Its description in RNAcentral is "partial small subunit ribosomal RNA". The record is from RNAcentral. Lineage: Eukaryota; Viridiplantae; Streptophyta; Magnoliopsida; Poales; Poaceae.